AGCUAUGUAGUGCUGAUCUGUACUUACUUGUUUAGGUGCCACUAAAGCUCUAUGGCUAAGUUUAAUAGUUUCAAUUUUAGAUAAAUCUUGCUUUUAGAUAUAAACUAAUCAUCAUUAUUAUGGUCACUAUGGAAACAUUUUGGUGCUUGAGUAGUCACAUGAACUUGAGUGCUAAAUGUAUAUUUUCUUGGAAGUCAUUCAUUUUCUCAUGCUGUAUCUUAAUUGAAAGAAUUAGUUGUUGUGCAUAUAUUUGUUUACUUCACGCUGUGGAGCCUGAUUUCUAAAAGGAGACCUUUUUAUCCAUCUUUAUUCUAGCAUUACUUCCUAGAUGAAGAUUCUAGCUUUUUUUGUUUGAUGGAAAAGGAUCAUUAAGAAACUAGUACACUCCGCUCCCAACACAACCAAAUGCAGGAGGAAAAGAGGUGUUUUACUUUCCUUUUUCUGUUGUAUGCACUCUUACAUCAUGAAGCAGUGUGACACGUGCAAAACUGUUAUUUAUAAACAACAACAUAUCCAGUAUUAUCUUAUACCGUAGGGUCUGGGGAGGGUAGUGUGUACGCAAACCUUAUCCCUAGCUUGUGAGGAUAGAGAGUCUGUUUCCAAUAGAUCCUCGGUUCAGAAGCACCAUAUCAAUAAAAAUAUAGACAAGAAGGGACAUCACCAAUAAGCCAUAUAAAAGCAGAAUAAAAACAACAAGAUAGUAAGGUGUUCAACAAUGAAAGAAAACAACAGUUAGUCAUAAAAACCUACUACCAACACAAGGCAAGACUGCGUGCCAAUACUACUGUUAUGAACACUUUAGACUACCUAUUCUACUACCCUAAUCCUCGACCUCCAUAUCUUCCUAUCAAGGGUCAUGUCCU
Molecule: long non-coding RNA, 863 nt
Filed under: Nicotiana benthamiana
Lineage: Eukaryota; Viridiplantae; Streptophyta; Magnoliopsida; Solanales; Solanaceae
Description: long non-coding RNA (NBEN_LNC002561)
Source: RNAcentral